This 605-nucleotide ribosomal RNA is filed under the name uncultured bacterium. RNAcentral's name for it is "bacterial SSU rRNA". It matches the Rfam family "Bacterial small subunit ribosomal RNA", at positions 220 to 842 of the family's 1533-position model. The record is from RNAcentral.
AUGAGAUGGGCCCGCGUCUGAUUAGCUAGUUGGCGGGGUAACGGCCCACCAAGGCAACGAUCAGUAGCCGACCUGAGAGGGCGACCGGCCACAUUGGGACUGAGACACGGCCCAAACUCCUACGGGAGGCAGCAGUGGGGAAUAUUGCACAAUGGGGGAAACCCUGAUGCAGCGACGCCGCGUGAGCGAUGAAGUAUUUCGGUAUGUAAAGCUCUAUCAGCAGGGAAGAAGAUGACGGUACCUGACUAAGAAGCCCCGGCUAACUACGUGCCAGCAGCCGCGGUAAUACGUAGGGGGCAAGCGUUAUCCGGAUUUACUGGGUGUAAAGGGAGCGUAGACGGCGGUGCAAGCCAGAUGUGAAAGCCCGGGGCUCAACCCCGGGACUGCAUUUGGAACUGUAUGGCUGGAGUGUCGGAGAGGCAGGCGGAAUUCCUAGUGUAGCGGUGAAAUGCGUAGAUAUUAGGAGGAACACCAGUGGCGAAGGCGGCCUGCUGGACGAUGACUGACGUUGAGGCUCGAAAGCGUGGGGAGCAAACAGGAUUAGAUACCCUGGUAGUCCACGCCGUAAACGAUGACUACUAGGUGUCGGGCAGCAAAGCUGUUCG